Molecule: ribosomal RNA, 497 nt
Filed under: uncultured bacterium
Lineage: Bacteria
Description: partial 16S ribosomal RNA
Rfam family: Bacterial small subunit ribosomal RNA
Source: RNAcentral
GAUGAACGCUGGCGGCGUGCCUAAUACAUGCCAGUCGAGCGAACAGAUGAGGAGCUUGCUCCUCUGACGUUAGCGGCGGACGGGUGCGUAACACGUGGAUAACCUACCUAUACGACUGGGAUAAUUUCGGGAAACCGGAGCUAAUACCGGAUAAUAUAUUGAACUGCAUGGUUCAAUCGUGAAAGAAGGUUUUGCUGUCACUUAUAGAUUGAUCCGCGCCGCAUUAGCUAGUUGGUAAGGUAACGGCUUACCAAGGCAACGAUGCGUAGCCGACCCGAGAGGGUGGUCGGCCACACGGGAACUGAGACACGGUCCAGACUCCGACGGGAGGCAGCAGUAGGGAAUCUUCCGCAAUGGGCGAGAGCCUGACGUAGCAACGCCGCGUGAGUGAUGAAGGUCUUCGGAUCGUAAAACUCUGUUAUUAGGGAAGAACAAAUGUUUAAGUAACUAUGCACGUCUUGACGGUACCUAAUCAGAAAGCCACGGCUAACUACGUG